GUAGGUGGCAAGCGUUGUCCGGAAUUACUGGGUGUAAAGGGAGCGUAGGCGGGAAAGCAAGUUGAAUGUUUAAACUAUCGGCUCAACCGAUAAUCGCGUUCAAAACUGUUUUUCUUGAGUGAAGUAGAGGUAGGCGGAAUUCCUAGUGUAGCGGUGAAAUGCGUAGAUAUUAGGAGGAACACCAGUGGCGAAGGCGGCCUACUGGGCUUUAACUGACGCUGAGGCUCGAAAGCGUGGGUAGCAAACAGGAUUAGAUACCCUGGUAGUCCACGCCGUAAACGAUGAUUACUAGGUGUGGGGGGAUCAACCCUUCCGUGCCGCAGCAAACGCAAUAAGUAAUCCACCUGGGGAGUACGACCGCAAGGUUG
This 368-nucleotide ribosomal RNA is filed under the name uncultured bacterium. Its description in RNAcentral is "bacterial SSU rRNA". It matches the Rfam family "Bacterial small subunit ribosomal RNA", at positions 527 to 896 of the family's 1533-position model. The record is from RNAcentral.